This is a long non-coding RNA of Rhea pennata, 1086 nucleotides long. RefSeq lists it as uncharacterized. The record is from RefSeq and is a predicted model, not a curated record. Lineage: Eukaryota; Metazoa; Chordata; Aves; Rheiformes; Rheidae. The transcript has 3 exons.
UGAUGAGCAAUUGUAGUUUUACAUUCUGAAUUCCCACGUUAUACAAAUCCUUUGCAAAUACUCUGUUUUUCAUAUGUGGAGGAUGCCUGUUUGCUGGAAACCACCUGCACAACCUCAUGGGAGUUCAUCUUUCUAAAUAGCAAAGCAACUUUAUUCACAAGUUGAAGGUAUAUAACUUCCUAUGUGAUCUCACCUCUACCAGUAGCAAGAAUGGAAAGAGGGGAGCUGAAUACUAGUGCAGCUGAAAUUGUUACAUAAACGAGUUUUCCAGAUUACUGUAGCAGUUUGUUGUGGUGGAAAAGUGCUGAAGGUUGAAGGAGGAAUGCUGGAUCCAGACGCUUCAUAUCCUCUUCAGAGAGCAGAUCUGGAACAGCUAUUGGAGAUGUCUGAUCUACACUCAGCUCUGGAGAUCCAGAUACGCUUCUAGGAUCAGUGAAGUUCAGGAGUAAAUACAGAGUUGGGUCACAGUAGGAACUGUGCACAAAUUCUUGAAGCCCAGAAGAUUGUUGCAAAGAAAGAGUGGAUUUUUUGUGGAUCACUUUGUGAGAGUAUCAAAUCAAGUUGCAGUAAAUAUGUAUAAGCAACUAGGCUACAGCAUGUACCGGACAGUAUUAGAGUACGACUCUGCUAGCAGUGGGGAGCCAGAUGAAGAUGCUUAUGACUCUCUUGCCCUCACAUGCCACGCCCUUCUGAAAAUUGGAAUGGCUUAUAAGUAGCUUUCCAUCGUGAGGGUGGAGUGUAUGGGAAAAUCCAGAAGAAUGUUGAGGAGACAGGCAAUGGAAGCUAGCCAGACCAUUCUGUGGAAAAGUAGCAUCAACAGAGCAUGGUGACCCAUAGCCGUGGUCCCAUGACUGGGCCCAUGCCAGUGUGGUGCUACACCUGCGCUUUGAAUCAAAAUCAGCGUUGAGCUCAAAACAUGUACUGCACAUGUGUAUAGUACAUAAAACCCCUUUACAGUGCCCGCACCGCAUUCCUCGCCAUGGACUGAUGCUCAGCGAUGCUUUGGAUUCUUCCUCGGCUUCGUUGCCUCAAUCGGGAAACUUCCGGGGACUGCCCGCUUAGACGCAGAGGUAAUAAAUGCUCAGU